UUUAAGGAAAAAGCAAAAGAUACU
This 24-nucleotide small nuclear RNA is filed under the name Arabidopsis thaliana (thale cress). Its description in RNAcentral is "snRNA_18115". The record is from RNAcentral. Lineage: Eukaryota; Viridiplantae; Streptophyta; Magnoliopsida; Brassicales; Brassicaceae.